GCUUGUCUCAAAGAUUAAGCCAUGCAUGUCUAAGUAUAAAUGUUAUACAGUGAAACUGCGAAUGGCUCAUUAUAUCAGUUAUAGUUUAUUUGAUGGUCCUUACUAUUUGGAUAACCGUAGUAAUUCUAGAGCUAAUACAUGCAUCAAUCCCCGACUUUUGGAAGGGGUGUAUUUAUUAGAUGGAAACCAAUGCGGGGCAACCCGGAAUAUGGUGAAUCAUAAUAACUUUCGGAUCGAUCGCAAGAUCGAUGCAUCAUUCAAGUUUCUGCCCUAUCAGCUUUGGAUGGUAGGGUAUUGGCCUACCAUGGCUUUAACGGGUAACGGAGAAUUAGGGUUCGAUUCCGGAGAGGGAGCCUGAGAAACGGCUACCACAUCCAAGGAAGGCAGCAGG
Molecule: ribosomal RNA, 391 nt
Filed under: uncultured Chrysophyceae
Lineage: Eukaryota; Chrysophyceae
Description: partial small subunit ribosomal RNA
Rfam family: Eukaryotic small subunit ribosomal RNA
Source: RNAcentral